CAAUAGCGUAUAUUAAAGUUGUUGCAGUUAAAAAGCUCGUAGUUGGAUUUCUGGUCGGAAGCUCCUGUCCUCUGAUGAGCGUACAAGUGCGUCCUACCAUCCUUCUGUUAACCUUUAAGGCUUUCGCGGCUUUCUAGGGGCUCAGAUAUUUUACCUUUAGAAAAUUAGAGUGUUUCAGGCAGGCUAGCGCCGGAAUACAUUAGCAUGGAAUAAUGGAAUAGGACUUUUGCCUCUUCUGUUGGUCAUGAGGCUCGAGUAAUGAUUAAUAGGGAUAGUUGGGGGCAUUAGUACUUAACUGUCAGAGGUGAAAUUCUCGGAUUUGUUAAAGACUAACUUAUGCGAAAGCAUUUGCCAAGGAUGUUUUCAUUAA
This 370-nucleotide ribosomal RNA is filed under the name uncultured eukaryote. RNAcentral describes it as "partial 18S ribosomal RNA". It matches the Rfam family "Eukaryotic small subunit ribosomal RNA", at positions 592 to 976 of the family's 1831-position model. The record is from RNAcentral.